GAUGAACGCUGGCGGCGUGCUUAACACAUGCAAGUCGAACGAUGAAGCCCAGCUUGCUGGGCGGAUUAGUGGCGAACGGGUGAGUAACACGUGAGUAACCUGCCCUUGACUCUGGGAUAAGCCCGGGAAACUGGGUCUAAUACCGGAUAGGAGCGCCUGUCGCAUGACGGGUGCUGGAAAGAUCUUUCGGUCAUGGAUGGACUCGCGGCCGAUCAGCUUGUUGGUGAGGUACCGGCUCACCAAGGCGACGACGGGUAGCCGGCCUGAGAGGGUGAACGGACACACUGGGACUGAGACACGGCGCAGACCCUUAUGGGAGGCAGCAGUGGGGAAUGUGUCACGAUGGGCGAAAGCCUGAGGCUGCGACGCCGCGUGAGGGAUAACGGCCUUCGGGUUGUAAACCUCUUUCAGCAGAGAAGAAGCGAAAGUGACGGUACCUGCAGAAGAAGCUCCGGCUAACUACGUG
This 466-nucleotide ribosomal RNA is filed under the name uncultured bacterium. Its description in RNAcentral is "partial 16S ribosomal RNA". It matches the Rfam family "Bacterial small subunit ribosomal RNA", at positions 28 to 507 of the family's 1533-position model. The record is from RNAcentral.